This 148-nucleotide signal recognition particle RNA is filed under the name Chlorocebus sabaeus (green monkey). Its description in RNAcentral is "Metazoan signal recognition particle RNA". It matches the Rfam family "Metazoan signal recognition particle RNA". From Rfam's summary of the family: The signal recognition particle (SRP) is a universally conserved ribonucleoprotein. Lineage: Eukaryota; Metazoa; Chordata; Mammalia; Primates; Cercopithecidae. The record is from Rfam by way of RNAcentral.
GCCAGGCAUGGUGGCGUGUGCCUGUAAUCCCAGCUACUCAGGAGGCUGAGGCAGGAGAAUCGCUUGAACCUAGGAGGCAGAGGUUGCAGUGAGCUGAAAUCGCACCACUGCACUCCUGCCUGGGUAACAGAGCAAGACUCUGUCUCAA